Colius striatus (speckled mousebird) is the source of this 614-nucleotide long non-coding RNA. RefSeq lists it as uncharacterized. The record is from RefSeq and is a predicted model, not a curated record. The transcript has 3 exons. NCBI's taxonomy places the organism in Eukaryota, Metazoa, Chordata, Aves, Coliiformes, Coliidae.
GGUUAAUCAUGAUCCUGUUGUGUCUGGCACUGUUACAUACAUGAACGCUCCUGGGUUCACACCCACCUCCGGCCCGGCUGGGCCAAUCUGGCACCUCUGCCAUCACUAUUUAGGGACAGGAAUUUGAAGUGCUGGCAGGAGGUGUGAGACUGAUACAAGAUGGAGGCGACCAUGCAGACCCCACAGUCAGAGAAGGAGGAAGGAAGGAGGAGCACUAGACCAGAGACCACUCUGCAAGCCGUGUCUCCUCUUCUCCAGACUAAACAGUCCCAGUUCCUGCAGCCUUUCUUCAUAUGAAAGAUGCUCCAUUCCCCUGAUCAUCUUGGUGGCCCUGCGCUGGACUCUCUCCAGAAGUUCUCCGGCCUCUUGAGCUGAGGAGCCCAGAACUGGACACAGUAAUCCAGAUGAGGUGCACUUCAUUAUUUUUUGCCAUCACUGAGUCUUCUUGCCAGGUAGAUGCUGCUACAGGUGUCCAGGGAGAAUAAAUGUUUGUGGAAACCUCAUCAGUGUCAUGUGAGUAGAGCUAAAAAAAAAAAAUAGUAUAAUUUGUUGUGUUAUGGGUUAUUGUGCUGGUCACCGUCCACACCGAAAAAGAAAGUUCUUAAAGCAGAAAA